GGAAAAGUUUAGUUCGGGGAUCAUUAAAAUAUAUUGCUGGAUCCUGGUUAGCCCAUCUACGCUGGACUACAAGAAAACGCUCUAGCAAUCGGGUUAAUUUUCCUAGACAUCCUCCUGAUCUCAGCCAGGACAGCCACAAAGUGCCCGGCUAAGCAGCACUGAUAUGGCGGCAUUAUCUUUAGGAAAGCGAUUUUCAAAUGGACGUUGUUUACAUUUUCAAACGGAGCUGCCAACUUGCGUGAACAUUCGAAAAUUCUUAAAGGGCACUGACGUAGAGAUACCCUUUUAUUCAAUAAAUAUAUACGCUAAAAUCAAUCACUCUGUAUAUAAAAUAAAAAAUGAUAAUUAACUAGCCUCUUGUUACAAAUACAUGUUUGCUUUAGAAUUAAUUCUACAAAUAUUAAGUCUGUAAUAAUAUUGACUUCACCUGUUGCAAUGGACACUGCAGCCCAAUACACUCCAGUUACCCACUGACCGGCUGGCAAGAAACCAGUGUUGAAAAGCGACAGGCAGACGCGCCUCCAAAAUUUUUAAAUGUGACAAUGUGUGUUUAAUAGCAAUUAUUACAU
Drosophila yakuba is the source of this 569-nucleotide long non-coding RNA. RefSeq lists it as uncharacterized. NCBI's taxonomy places the organism in Eukaryota, Metazoa, Arthropoda, Insecta, Diptera, Drosophilidae. The transcript has 2 exons. The record is from RefSeq and is a predicted model, not a curated record.